Lolium perenne is the source of this 1649-nucleotide non-coding RNA. The record is from RefSeq and is a predicted model, not a curated record. Lineage: Eukaryota; Viridiplantae; Streptophyta; Magnoliopsida; Poales; Poaceae.
UAUUAAAUCACGAUGCCCUUCCUUUGUAGUUAUUGUUUUGGCUCUGUCCAACCUUGGUUUUGGUUGAUCCUGAUAUUCAUCCAAUUUGUAGGAUAUGAGGGUCUAUAUUAGUUACACUGGAGUCAUUGUGUGCUCUUAUAAUGUGACAACAGGUUGUUUCAAUUUCCAAGAUACCAUUUCUCUUGCUCUUAUAACGCCACAACAUGUUGUUUCUAUUUCCAUAUUAGUUCUAACGUUCCAGUUUUCUUGCUACUAUACGUACUUGCUUUCCCUAAUCUCAACCCUAUUUUUAAUUAUUGUUUCCACCGUGUGCUAAGGUUUCUAUUGGCAGGCUUCUCUACAGUUUGGGAUGUAUCACGGCAUUCUCUCCACUAGCGGAAUAGCUGUAAUGCAUAUGCUUAUUCCUCCACAUCACUCCAGGCAGUGGCUACAGGUCACCAUCAUGUGAUUGAAAGAGGAUUGGUUAGGAACAAGGAGUGCGCCUGUGCCUGAUGAUUAAAGCCUGCAGCAAAGAUGUGGCUGGAUGGUUGUUGACUACUCCCUAGCGCAGAAGAUUUUCAUGGGGUUGUUAGGUUGUGGAUGUGUCCUUUAGUAUGUCCUUCUUUCUUGUGCUAUGCUCCGUUCAUUUUCUUGCGACGCUGAGCUACAACAAGAGACUAACGUUAGUGGGAUAUGAGGUGCUUGGUCAGAAAUUCAUUAGGUACACAUCAUUUAUGGUGGUGUUCGCUACAGUCUUCUAUAUAUGAUCUCUCAUAGAUGGUUGAAUCUUUCUUCACAAUUAUCACGUCAUAUAGUUUCGCAUAUUAAAUACAGCCUUACUAUUUUUAAACCAAUGCUACCCAGGUUGUCUCCUUUUGGUUUUCUGUUAUUUCUUCAAAAAAUUGUGCAUUUUUAUAUAUAGACCUGUUUACCUCCCUGUUCCAAACCAAACAUAGACAUCGAAAAUGCGUAGCUAAAUAAAUUAUCCAUUGGAUUCUCUGUCUUGCUACCAAUAGUGCAUGUACAUGAAAAAAUCAAUUAGUGUGUGCAACCUUUUUUAUGGCAGUGAAAAUGAUAAGUAUUUGAUUAUUAUGCAACCUUUGAAUGGCAGAAAUCAAAUAGUAUUGAUUACUAUGCUACUUGGAUAAUUUCUAGCAUUAGAUACUUCACUAUAAAAAAUAUUGGGUUGUUAAAGUUCUCAUUGAUGGAGCUUAGUUUCAUAAGGAGCAAAGGAGACAACCUUUGUUGGUGCACGGUCUUGAAGAGGCUGGUCUCGAAGAGGUACUAACCUGCACCAGAAGAUGAAGGGGUUCACUAGGCGCUAAGGUGAUUUCAUAGGUGAUUAAAGAUGAGAUGCUUCACUAUCUGCAAGCUCGCGAGCUAAGGACGUGUAAACUAUCUGGAAGCUCCAUAUUGUUUAAUGUACCAUGCAAGAGUUACAGGAUUUCAGCGACAACCUUUACCUCUACAACUUGCCACAUACCAGGACUUGAAGUCAGCAUCAGAUUUUGUAUCUACACGAAAUCAAUCACAGAGGAAAAGAUCCUGAGAUCGACAUGAAGCAAGGACAGAAGAAGGCAUGAAGAUCAAUGAGCAGCCGCAUGUUAUCGUGGACCUAUUGUUCAAUAUUGGUGACAAGCCGCACCUGGUGUUCACCCAAAAUGGCAAUG